RNAcentral lists this ribosomal RNA (494 nucleotides) under uncultured bacterium. RNAcentral describes it as "partial 16S ribosomal RNA". It matches the Rfam family "Bacterial small subunit ribosomal RNA", at positions 28 to 507 of the family's 1533-position model. The record is from RNAcentral.
GACGAACGCUGGCGACGUGCUUAACACAUGCCAGUCGAACGGAAAGGCCUGCUUUCCCUUGUGGAUUGCGGGUACUCGAGUGGCGAACGGGUGAGUAACACGUGAGUGAUCUGCCCCCAACUUGGGUAUAAGCCUGGGAAACUGGGUCUAAUUCCCGAUAGGACUGCAGGGUGGUGCCUGUGGUGGAAAACGAUUUUCUAGUGGUUGGGGAUGAGCUCGCGGCCUAUCAGCUUGUUGGUGGGGUAAUGGCCUACCAAGGCGGCGACGGGUAGCCGGCCUGAGAGGGUGGACGGCCACAUUGGGACUGAGAUACGGCCCAGACUCCUACGGGAGGCAGCAGUGGGGAAUAUUACACAAUGGGCGGAAGCCUGAUGCAGCGACGCCGCGUGGGGGAUGACGGCCUUCGGGUUGUAAACUCCUUUCGACCGCGAGGAAGCCACCUGGUUGGAAGGGUGGUGACGGUAGUGGUAGAAGAAGCACCGGCUAACUACGUG